This 375-nucleotide ribosomal RNA is filed under the name uncultured bacterium. RNAcentral's name for it is "bacterial SSU rRNA". It matches the Rfam family "Bacterial small subunit ribosomal RNA", at positions 524 to 898 of the family's 1533-position model. The record is from RNAcentral.
UACGGAGGGUGCAAGCGUUAAUCGGAAUUACUGGGCGUAAAGCGCACGCAGGCGGUCUGUCAAGUCGGAUGUGAAACCCCCGGGCUCAACCUGGGAACUGCAUUCGAAACUGGCAGGCUAGAGUCUUGUAGAGGGGGGUAGAAUUCCAGGUGUAGCGGUGAAAUGCGUAGAGAUCUGGAGGAAUACCGGUGGCGAAGGCGGCCCCCUGGACAAAGACUGACGCUCAGGUGCGAAAGCGUGGGGAGCAAACAGGAUUAGAUACCCUGGUAGUCCACGCCGUAAACGAUGUCUAUUUGAAGGUUGUUCCCUUGAGGAGUGGCUUUCGGAGCUAACGCGUUAAGCAUCCCACCUGGGGAGUACGCCGGCAACGGUGAA